Molecule: ribosomal RNA, 344 nt
Filed under: uncultured Anaerolineaceae bacterium
Lineage: Bacteria; Bacillati; Chloroflexota; Anaerolineae; Anaerolineales; Anaerolineaceae
Description: bacterial SSU rRNA
Rfam family: Bacterial small subunit ribosomal RNA
Source: RNAcentral
ACAGGGAGACAGGUGGUGCAUGGUUGUCGUCAGCUCGUGUCGUGAGAUGUUGGGUUAAGUCCGCUAACGAGCGCAACCCUCGCUGUGUGUUACAAGUGUCACACGGAACUGCCGGUCAUAAACCGGAGGAAGGUGGGGAUGACGUCAAGUCAGCAUGGCCUUUAUAUCCUGGGCUACACACACGCUACAAUGGGAAGGGACAAUAGGUUGCGAAGCCGCGAGGCGGAGCCAAUCCAGCAAAACUUCCCUCAGUUCAGAUUGCAGGCUGCAACUCGCCUGCAUGAAGUUGGAGUUGCUAGUAAACGCAGGUCAGCCAUACUGCGUUGAAUACGUUCCCGGGGCUU